Long non-coding RNA from Centruroides sculpturatus (bark scorpion), 562 nucleotides. RefSeq lists it as uncharacterized. NCBI's taxonomy places the organism in Eukaryota, Metazoa, Arthropoda, Arachnida, Scorpiones, Buthidae. The record is from RefSeq and is a predicted model, not a curated record. The transcript has 3 exons.
UCCAGAGAGGGCGCGACAGUCGAUUUAAUGUUUCGUUACCUCUAAAAUGGCUUCUAAUUCUAAUUGAACAAUAAAUAGAUGAUAAAACCUAAUCAUUCCGUCCAAUUAUUUUGUUGGUAUGACUUAUCGAUGACAAUUGCUUAGGGUGCCUUAGCGUUGAAAGUUAUAAAGUUGUGUAACAAUUCUAUUUUGCUUAACAUUCUCCUUUAUGCAUUGAUUGAUGACUUUCUCAAUAAAAAGUCAAAAUGGGAUGAAAAGAUUCUUAUCAGAAACUAGAUAACUAUAUAUAAAAGAAAAAGUGGGAAAACAAAGGAAAACAGAAUCAAGGAAAGUUAUGGCUUAUAGAACAGUUUUUGUUCUUAGCAGUAUUAUUUUCUGGAUUUGUUGUAUAGAAUGUCACCCGAUACAAGAUACAAGUUUGCCGUUUGAUGAUUUAACAGGCCAUGCUGUAAUACCAUCGUUGUUAUCUGUAUGUUUCCUAAUAUCUGUUGUUGCCAUAUUAGGUUUUUGUGUUUGUUGUUCUAAUCGUAACUUAAAGGUCAGUUGAAACAUUUAUUAUGUA